Molecule: long non-coding RNA, 85 nt
Organism: Sinocyclocheilus rhinocerous
Lineage: Eukaryota; Metazoa; Chordata; Actinopteri; Cypriniformes; Cyprinidae
Exons: 3
Source: RefSeq, a predicted model, not a curated record
UAUAUAUAUAAUAUGAAAAAAAUAAUUUAUUUAUUGACAAAGCAAGACACAUGUGGUUAUAGUGGUUUUAAUACUAUUGAGCUUG